AGAAGGAGGCACACUGCCAGCUCCUAAGGAAGGACAGCCAACGCUCCAGGGGCCAGCCAAGCCAGGACACACCCAGCCCCCCAGACGGAGGUCUUGACAGGAAGGGACAGACUGGAGGACACGACGCUGAGGGGAUUUCAAGAGUGGCUAAAGAACCAAUGUCCCUGUGUUCGCGUUGGCUGGCCCAGCUGUCUUGCUGCUGGCAUGGCACCCCGCCUGCCAGAGAUGUUCCCGCACUUUUAAAGAUUCAUAGAUAUUUCAGGACAGAAGGGACCAUGAUGACCAUCCCGCCUGAUCUGCACAACACAGGCCACUGACAUAAACCCAGCAAUUCGUGCAUCAAGCCCACAACUUCUGGUUGAGCUCUUUUGGAAAGAGAUAACCAGUCUUGAUUUACAGACUUCAAGCAAUGGAGAA
Molecule: long non-coding RNA, 417 nt
Organism: Chelonia mydas (Green sea turtle)
Lineage: Eukaryota; Metazoa; Chordata; Testudines; Cheloniidae
Exons: 3
Source: RefSeq, a predicted model, not a curated record